Molecule: non-coding RNA, 28 nt
Filed under: Bombyx mori (domestic silkworm)
Lineage: Eukaryota; Metazoa; Arthropoda; Insecta; Lepidoptera; Bombycidae
Source: RNAcentral
UAAGCGAAUGUGUGAGAGUCAAAAUUAA